GCACAGGAUGAAGCCAGACAAGGCGAGGCAGGUGGGGCAGAAUGAAUGAGCUUUCUAGGGAGGGAGGUUGGGUGCAGGUAGAGCGAGGUAAAGCAGCUGGGGUGGUGAGCCAGCGAGGCACUGGCCUCCAGAGUCCGUGGCCAAGGAGGGCCUUGCGGGCGGCGACGGAGCAGUGAUCGGUGUCUCGGAGAGCUCGGACUGGAGACUAGGGUAAGUGUCUGUCCCACUAGUGGCCACCCAGUUUCCUCCCACUCAAGUCCACUUAACUCAUGUCUUCUUUUCUCCCCACAGCCAGGUCUCUAGCAGAAGUGGAUGUGCCUGCCAGUCACUGAAGGCGAGGAUGACAGGUGUGGUCAACGUGAUAGAAAGACAUGACAUGGUCCGGUGUGAUGGAGAGGACAGAAGGACAGUCAUCCAGCCUUCCUGGUGAGCAUACUCCCUGCCACAGGGCUAGCCCGCUCAACCACCUAAUUUGUCACCCACUCACUCCAGAUUCUGUCCUUUGCAGAACACCGUGGGCUGGUGCCGUGGGACACUGCCGUAGAAGCCGUCUGUUCUUUCCUUUGCCCAAAGAGCUAACACAUCUCUGCUGCUCUCUGGAUCCUCUUCCCCCUACCUUGAACCCUCAAGAUGAAAGGUGAGGACUCUUCUGCCCCACAUGGGUGGGGCAUGGCAGGCUGCCAAGUGCAGGGGUCUCAUUCUCUCCCACCCACAGAAAUGGUGCUACCCAGCUCAUGUCUGGGCCUUUGAAUCCGGGGACUUCUUUAAGUCCGUCUAGUUCUGAAUCAAGAAUAUGCUGCACUCAGAACCACUACACUACCUGCCUCAGGAAUCGGCUCGAAGGUGAGUCAGGGCGCCCUUUGGCAGCUCGGCAAGCCUACUCUCCCCUCCCAACAUCCCCCUCAGCCCCCUCCCCCUCCCAGCCCCCCUCAUUUGUCUUUUUUCUCUUUGCAGGUAAAGCUGAAGGAACAGACGGUGACAACAUCUUGAAAGAGCAGACCCACACAGCACCCACCCACCCCUGAGACUCCAUCUUCAUGGCCAACUAACUCUGCCUGGCCCGGGAGACCACCACCCACAUCAUCCUGGAGCCAAGCCUCUAGCCCGGGAUGACUUCAUCAUCUCCCUCCUGUCUUUUUUCUUCUUCCUCCUUUCCUGUAACUCUAUAUUUCUUUCCUUUUGUUCCUUCUCUGCUUGAGAGACUCAAAGCAUCCGUGACUCUGCUCCCCCACUCACCCCUUUUGAAUUUGCACUAAGUCGAUUGCACUGGUUUGGAGUCCCGGAGAUAGCCUGAGUCUCUCCGUAUGGAUGUAUACAGCGAGUGUGUAGGCCCCUUUGGCUAUGCUGCCCCAGUGCCCGCCCGUCAUCCACUUCUGUCUGAGGGCAACUGGGUGUGGCCGUGCGCUUGAGGCCUCACCUUCCCCUUGCCUAGUCUGGAAGCAGUUCCAUCAUAAAGUGUUCAACGCACCUUCCUUCAUCCUUUGUCCCUCCUCACCAGGGCCUCACCAGAGGUCCUGGGUCCACCAAUAAAUACAGUUACAGUC
This 1544-nucleotide long non-coding RNA is filed under the name Rattus norvegicus (Norway rat). RNAcentral's name for it is "long non-coding RNA NONRATT003362". Lineage: Eukaryota; Metazoa; Chordata; Mammalia; Rodentia; Muridae. The record is from RNAcentral.